Molecule: ribosomal RNA, 780 nt
Filed under: Xyloterini sp.
Lineage: Eukaryota; Metazoa; Arthropoda; Insecta; Coleoptera; Curculionidae
Description: 12S ribosomal RNA
Source: RNAcentral
AAAAUGUUAUAGAUAAUUAAUUCGUAGUAAAUAAUUAAAAAGUCUUUAUUUAGAAUUUUAAUGUUUCUUUGAUAUAUAUAUAAGUUUUAGCUUGAGUUAUUAGAUUAAAUAAUAUUUUUUUUAGAAUUGUAGUAUAGAAUUUUUUGUAUUAAGGUGACUUAGACAAAGCAAAUGAAGAAUGUAUAGACAAAAUUUGUGCCAGCAGUUGCGGUUAUACAAAUUAUGCAAUUAAAAUUUUUCAGUAACAGUUAAUUUUAUUUAUUAGGUUUAAGGAUAUAAUUAUUAGGUGAAAUUUUAAUUAUAUUUAAGUUUAUAGUAUGAGGCUGGGAAAAUUGUAUAAAACUAGGAUUAGAUACCCUAUUAUGAAAUUGUAAAUAUGAAAGCUUGAUUAUUAGUAGUUAAGUUCUUGAAAAUUAAAAGAGUUGGCGGUAUUCUAGUCUUUUCAGAGGAACCUGUUUAGUAAUUGAUUAUCCACGUUUUAAAUUACUUGUUUUUAGUUUACAUAUCGCCGUGGUGGAAUAUUUAUUAAUAAUUAAAUAUUCAAGAUUUUUAUUUAAAGGAAUUCAGGUCAAGAUGUAGCAUGGACAAGAUGGAAUGGGUUACAUUAAGUUUAUUUAUGGAUAUUUAAGUGAAUAUUUAAAUUGAGAGAGGAUUUGAAAGUAAUUUUAACUAAAUUUUUAGGAUGAUUUUAGCUCUAGAAUAUGCACAUAUCGCCCGUCGCUUUCACUUAAAGUGAAAUAAGUCGUAACAAAGUAGAUGUACUGGAAAGUGUAUCUAGAA